Long non-coding RNA from Epinephelus moara (kelp grouper), 717 nucleotides. RefSeq lists it as uncharacterized. NCBI's taxonomy places the organism in Eukaryota, Metazoa, Chordata, Actinopteri, Perciformes, Serranidae. The transcript has 3 exons. The record is from RefSeq and is a predicted model, not a curated record.
CUUUAAUACUCUUUUGUCCCAGCUCAUCAAACGUCUCUGUUACGUCGGCUUUGGGUCGGCCCAGUCCUGUAGAAUGUCUGCCCACAUACGGAAGUCGCCACAGAGGCGGAAUUUCAUCUCCGCGGUGUUUGUUUGGAACUGAGCUCGCAGGACACAGCAUCUCAUCGCAGUUGGUUUCAGUUGACGUUAUCUGCUCAUCUGGUUAUCGUGAGCACUCGUUUUGGGUUAAAGUGGAAGUGCCCGGAGCUGCCACCCGUGGUCCCGCGGCCCCCCGGCCUGCCCUCCGGGGCCCUGGACGUGUGCUCAAGUGUCUGGGAGAGGAGCGGAGAGGAGCACGGAGGUCAGGCGGGGCGGGCCGACACUGUGUAUCCCAGAACGGGUGCUGAAGUGUCGGUGAGACCAGCAGAGAGGAGCGCGGAGGUGAAAUAGUGAAGUUUAAGGAUGCCUUCGGCUGCCAGGAGAAGCGGACUGGCCAUCAGAUAUUUUUUGUGGAACUUUGAAAAAAAGUUUGUCAAAAUGACUUUUGUAGGGGCGUUGGUGGCUUAGUGGUAGAGCAGGCGCCCCAUGUACAAGGCUGUUGCCACAGUGGCCCGGGUUCGACUCCAGCCUGUGGCCCUUUGCUGCAUGUCAUUCCCUCUCUCUCUCUCCCCCUUUCACACUUAACUGUCCUGUUCAUUAAAUGCAAAAAAUGCCCUAAAAAAUAUCUUUUAAAAAAAA